UGGGGAAUAUUGCACAAUGGGCGAAAGCCUGAUGCAGCAACGCCGCGUGAGUGAUGAAGGCCUUCGGGUUGUAAAGCUCUGUCUUUUGGGACGAUAAUGACGGUACCGGGAGAAGAAGCUGCGGCUAACUACGUGCCAGCAGCCGCGGUAAUACGUAGGCAGCAAGCGUUGUUCGGAGUUACUGGGCGUAAAGAGUGCGUAGGCGGUUUUCUAAGUUCGGUGUGAAAUCUCCCGGCUUAACUGGGAGGGUGCGCCGAAGACUGGGAAGCUGGAGUGUGGGAAAGGCAGGCGGAAUUCCUGGUGUAGCGGUGAAAUGCGUAGAUAUCAGGAGGAACACCGGCGGUGUAGACGGCUUGCUAGACCAUAACUGACGCUGAGGCACGAAAGCGUGGGUAGCAAACA
Molecule: ribosomal RNA, 402 nt
Filed under: uncultured bacterium
Lineage: Bacteria
Description: bacterial SSU rRNA
Rfam family: Bacterial small subunit ribosomal RNA
Source: RNAcentral